UCUACCAAAGGAUAAUAGUCUCCAC
RNAcentral lists this transfer RNA (25 nucleotides) under Boaedon fuliginosus (brown house snake). RNAcentral describes it as "partial tRNA-Leu". The record is from RNAcentral. Lineage: Eukaryota; Metazoa; Chordata; Lepidosauria; Squamata; Lamprophiidae.